This 415-nucleotide ribosomal RNA is filed under the name uncultured microorganism. Its description in RNAcentral is "bacterial SSU rRNA". It matches the Rfam family "Archaeal small subunit ribosomal RNA", at positions 330 to 745 of the family's 1478-position model. The record is from RNAcentral.
GCGCAGCAGGCGAGAAUACUUUACAAUGCGGGAAACCGCGAUAAGGGGACACCGAGUGCCAGCAUAUUAUGUUGGCUGUCCACAUGUGUAAACGGCAUGUGUUAGCAAGGGCCGGGCAAGACCGGUGCCAGCCGCCGCGGUAACACCGGCGGCCCGAGUGGUAAUCACUUUUAUUGGGUCUAAAGGGUCCGUAGCCGGUUUGAUCAGUUCUUCGGGAAAUCUGACAGCUCAACUGUUAGGCUUCCGGGGAAUACUGUCAGACUUGGGACCGGGAGAGGUAAGAGGUACUACAGGGGUAGGAGUGAAAUCUUGUAAUCCCUGUGGGACCACCAGUGGCGAAGGCGUCUUACCAGAACGGGUCCGACGGUGAGGGACGAAAGCUGGGGGCACGAACCGGAUUAGAUACCCGCGUAGU